This 492-nucleotide ribosomal RNA is filed under the name uncultured bacterium. RNAcentral's name for it is "partial 16S ribosomal RNA". It matches the Rfam family "Bacterial small subunit ribosomal RNA", at positions 29 to 507 of the family's 1533-position model. The record is from RNAcentral.
AGUGAACGCUGGCGGUAGGCCUAACACAUGCAAGUCGAACGGCAGCACAGUAAGAGCUUGCUCUUACGGGUGGCGAGUGGCGGACGGGUGAGGAAUACAUCGGAAUCUACUUUUUCGUGGGGGAUAACGUAGGGAAACGUACGCUAAUACCGCAUACGACCUACGGGUGAAAGCAGGGGAUCUUCGGACUUUGCGCGAUUGAAUGAGCCGAUGUCGGAUUAGCUAGUUGGCGGGGUAAAGGCCCACCAAGGCGACGAUCCGUAGCUGGUCUGAGAGGAUGAACCGCCACAUUGGAACUGAGACACGGUCCAGACUCCUACGGGAGGCAGCAGUGGGGAAUAUUGGACAAAGGGGGCAAGGCGGAUCCAGGCAUACCGCGUGGGUGCAGAAGGCCUUCGGGUUGUAAAGCCCUUUUGUUCGGAAAGAAAAACAGCAGGUUAAUACCCCGCUGUUCUGACGGUACCCAAAGAAUAAGCACCGGCUAACUUCGUG